This 253-nucleotide ribosomal RNA is filed under the name uncultured bacterium. RNAcentral describes it as "partial 16S ribosomal RNA". It matches the Rfam family "Bacterial small subunit ribosomal RNA", at positions 524 to 776 of the family's 1533-position model. The record is from RNAcentral.
GACAGAGGGUGCAAACGUUGUUCGGAAUUACUGGGCGUAAAGCGCGUGUAGGCGGUUCGGUAAGUCGGAUGUGAAAGCCCCGGGCUCAACCCGGGAAGUGCACUCGAUACUGCCGAGCUAGAGUAUCGGAGAGGUUGGUGGAAUUCUCGGUGUAGAGGUGAAAUUCGUAGAUAUCGUAAGGAAGACCAGUGGCGAAGGCGGGUCUCUGGACAGUUCCUGACGCUGAGGCACGAAGGCCAGGGGAGCAAACGGG